Caenorhabditis elegans is the source of this 92-nucleotide non-coding RNA. NCBI's taxonomy places the organism in Eukaryota, Metazoa, Nematoda, Chromadorea, Rhabditida, Rhabditidae. The record is from Ensembl.
AAAACGCAAGUUGAGAUAGCAAUCUUUUGCUCGAUGAGGGUGAAGGUCCGGUCAACUGAUGACCACUAAAGAUAGACACAACAUACUACCAA